GACGAACGCUGGCGGCGUGCUUAACACAUGCAAGUCGAACGGAAAGGCCCUGCUUUUGUGGGGUGCUCGAGUGGCGAACGGGUGAGUAACACGUGAGUAACCUGCCCUUGACUUUGGGAUAACUUCAGGAAACUGGGGCUAAUACCGGAUAGGAGCUCCUGCUGCAUGGUGGGGGUUGGAAAGUUUCGGCGGUUGGGGAUGGACUCGCGGCUAAUCAGCUUGUUGGUGGGGUAGUGGCUUACCAAGGCUUUGACGGGUAGCCGGCCUGGGAGGGUGACCGGCGACAUUGGGACUGAGAUACGGCCCAGAGUCCUACGGUGGGCAGCAGUGGGGAAUAUUGCACAAUGGGCGGAAGCCUGAUGAAGCAACGCCGCGUGCGGGAUGACGGCCUUCGGGUUGUAAACCGCUUUAGCCUGUGACGAAGCGUGAGUGACGGUAAUGGGUAAAGAAGCACCGGCUAACUACGUG
This 468-nucleotide ribosomal RNA is filed under the name uncultured bacterium. RNAcentral describes it as "partial 16S ribosomal RNA". It matches the Rfam family "Bacterial small subunit ribosomal RNA", at positions 28 to 507 of the family's 1533-position model. The record is from RNAcentral.